This 232-nucleotide ribosomal RNA is filed under the name uncultured bacterium. RNAcentral describes it as "partial 16S ribosomal RNA". It matches the Rfam family "Bacterial small subunit ribosomal RNA", at positions 109 to 334 of the family's 1533-position model. The record is from RNAcentral.
AGUAACACGUAGGUAACCUGCCCAUGUGUCCGGGAUAACUGCUGGAAACGGUAGCUAAAACCGGAUAGGUAUACAGAGCGCAUGCUCAGUAUAUUAAAGCGCCCUUCAAGGCGUGAACAUGGAUGGACCUGCGGCGCAUUAGCUAGUUGGUGAGGUAACGGCCCACCAAGGCGAUGAUGCGUAGCCGGCCUGGGAGGGUAAACGGCCACAUUGGGACUGAGACACGGCCCAA